GACGAACGCUGGCGGCGUGCCUAAUACAUGCAAGUCGAACGCACGAAGUUGAAGAGCUUGCUCUUUAACCAAGUGAGUGGCGGACGGGUGAGUAACACGUGGGUAACCUGCCCAUUAGAGGGGGAUAACAUUCGGAAACGGAUGCUAAUACCGCAUAGUUUCAGGAAUCGCAUGAUUCUUGAAGGAAAGGUGGCUUCGGCUACCACUAAUGGAUGGACCCGCGGCGUAUUAGCUAGUUGGUGAGGUAAUGGCUCACCAAGGCAAUGAUACGUAGCCGACCUGAGAGGGUGAUCGGCCACACUGGGACUGAGACACGGCCCAGACUCCUACGGGAGGCAGCAGUAGGGAAUCUUCCGCAAUGGACGAAAGUCUGACGGAGCAACGCCGCGUGAGUGAAGAAGGUUUUCGGAUCGUAAAACUCUGUUGUUAAAGAAGAACAAGGAUGAGAGUAACUGCUCAUCCCCUGACGGCAUUUAACCAGAAAGCCACGGCUAACUACGUGCCAGCAGCCGCGGUAAUACGUAGGUGGCAAGCGUUGUCCGGAUUUAUUGGGCGUAAAGCGAGCGCAGGCGGUUCUUUAAGUCUGAUGUGAAAGCCCCCGGCUCAACCGGGGAGGGUCAUUGGAAACUGGAGAACUUGAGUGCAGAAGAGGAGAGUGGAAUUCCACGUGUAGCGGUGAAAUGCGUAGAUAUGUGGAGGAACACCAGUGGCGAAGGCGACUCUCUGGUCUGUAACUGACGCUGAGGCUCGAAAGCGUGGGGAGCAAACAGG
Molecule: ribosomal RNA, 771 nt
Filed under: uncultured Vagococcus sp.
Lineage: Bacteria; Bacillati; Bacillota; Bacilli; Lactobacillales; Enterococcaceae
Description: bacterial SSU rRNA
Rfam family: Bacterial small subunit ribosomal RNA
Source: RNAcentral